This is a long non-coding RNA of Triticum aestivum (bread wheat), 4631 nucleotides long. RefSeq lists it as uncharacterized. The record is from RefSeq and is a predicted model, not a curated record. The transcript has 7 exons. NCBI's taxonomy places the organism in Eukaryota, Viridiplantae, Streptophyta, Magnoliopsida, Poales, Poaceae.
GUCAACACAAAACGUACGACGGUACGAGCGACAGCCCAGCCGUAUGACUGACGAUCCAUCUCAUCUUCCACCUCUAGCACGCCGCACCCCUGCCACGCCGCCGGUCUAAGCCCCUACCCUACCCCAAGUCCCCCACCCUCGCGGCCUUCCACCGCCGGCGAGACUCCACGGUGCGGUCGUUGCCGGCUCCCCCCGCCUCUGCUACCACGACGCCGCCGGGAAUCUUAUCCCCCGCCAUGCGAGUUGUCAUGGAGGCGGAGCUGAUUCGCCACGGGUGUGAGGGCGGGGGUAAAGACGAUGGUGCACUUGGAGGCACUGGGACGGGGUAGCGAGGUGAAGAAGAAGGGGUAGAAAGCAGUUGCGGUGCGUGUGUGCCUCACCUCCAUUGUUUUGUGACCAAGCCCACCUGAAAUCUAGGCGGCAAAUUAUUCAUGGAUAUGUGGUACAAACCAUCCUUGUGAGAAAUCCAACGGAUUCGAUGAGGACUGAGGAAGGAGCCGGAGGAGGUGGUGGGUUGAGGAAGGAGCUGGAGCAGAGGCGGCUUUGAGGCUGCCCCUACACGCACUAAGAGGCAGGAGGAAAAUAUGAGGCGCCGGCGAUCCGGACGUUGCAGUGUUUUCUUCGUCUCUCCUGGUGCGAGACCAGAAAUUCAGAGGAUGUGCAAGAUGAAACAUGGUGCAUGAGGCUUCAUGAGCAUAAUUGUAAGGAUUACAAACUUUCUUAGGAAAACCAAUACAACAGUGAUAAAUAUAAUUUCAUUUAUAGCUCAUGUUUUGAACUGUAUUUUAUAUGCAAUUUCGAUAUCAUGGUGGAACACAAAAUUUAAAUAGAAAAAAAUAAUACUGGCCAAUGUAUAUUUUUCAAGUUCAGAUAUAUAUACAUGCUUAACUAAAGUACGCACAGUGCAUACUGUGGAAUCACAUGACAAAUAUUCAUGCUUUACUAAAUGCAUCUGCUCCAUUUUGGCAUAUGUGAAUCUCUUUUGGGGAUAGUUCUGUGUGGCCUUGGAUCAAUCCUGAACUGGUUGGUGUUAUAUACCCAUUCUCUUCACAUGACCCAAUAGGUAUUAGAGAGGAACAUGUUACUUUGGUUACUUUUAUCUCCAUUUUACGCAAUUUAGCUUGUUGCAACUGUGGUUUUAUGCUGCAGUUGAUAAUAUCCUUUUAGUUAGAUGGCAAUCUUCCUCUAUCCUUUUCAUUGUACUAUGUUUUUGAAGCUCUGAUGUUUAUUUGAAAAUAGAAACUAGCAAAAUUUUGUUUGCCGCUGCUUGGUCAGGCAAAGCCAGCUGUUCGUUACUGUGUGCGGUUCUCUUGCCAUUUUAUGGGGUGCAACUGGAACUGGCAGAAGACUGUAGUUGUGUCGUUGUCACAUUUACUGAUUUGAUGUUUCUUUUCAAGAUUAUAGUAUUUGUUUACCAAUUUCUUUCUUCUAUUCCUUCUAGAUAAUUUGCUUCAGUUCUACUCCCUCCAUUCUGAUUUACUCGUCGUGGUCGAGUAAAUCAGAAUGGAGGGAGUACAUGGUGAAACAUGCAUAUUGUUUCCCGAUAUAUUGGGCAUCAGUCCACCUCUCAUGAGAUCUCUGAAUUUUCAACCCAUAUUGUGUUUGCUGAAUUAUUUCCUCUAGAUAACUAUGCUUGGAUUAAAAAAUGUGUGCAAUUGCUUUCAAAUGGAGGUUAUUUCUUUACUAAUUCUGUGCUAUUCCACUUUCAAGCUUUUGGACCUAGAAGUGUAAUACUAGCUAGGUUAGCUGCAGAAGCGGGAUUUAUAUGGCCUGAAUUUUUAUUUCACAGUGUAUAAACUGAUUCAAAGUAUUUCUGACUCCUUGCGUUCUGAAACAUUUUGUUGUAUGGUUCUGUCUUGAAAGAAUUGAAGCAAUUUUUCUAUGGGAGAUAAUAUGAAUGUGAUUCCGAAACAACAUGCAGUGUCAUUAAGUUUCUUAUUUACCAACUUAAACAUGGUCAGUAAUAGCACAACUAAAGUUUCUGAACAUAUCAUUAUAGAACUGUUGGCUGGAUUGUGUUUUGUAUGGAUUCUUCAAGGGACAUUUCUAAGGAAUUACAAGUUAGUUUUACAUUUUUCUAGCCAUGCUCAUUGUCUUUGGAUUGCCAAUGCUCGGAUCGGUUUGUGAUCAAGUGGACACAACGACUACCGUUAGUGAGGGUUAAGUAAGGGGUGACCUGAGUGGGCGCCGUGUUGAGAUACACGAUGUUAGUUGAGAUAGAGGAUGUUAGCAUGUGGGGAGGGGGUCUUGAGCCAUGCUUAUUUUUGGUCUACGUCUGUGUGAUAUGUUUUUUUUCGUAGCAACGCACGGACAUUUUUGCUAGUCUUUCCCUAAUCUUUUCCUAAUUUUUUAUAAUAAUAAAGCAUGGAUUAACUCCGUGGGUUCACCGUCACAAUACGCUUCUUCCCGUGAUUUUACGCUUUCAGUUUUACAGUUUUAAAUUAAAAUGUAUUCGAGGUGGUACGAAAUUGUGUGUGGUUCUCUGUUGCGGCGUAUUUUCAGAAAAGCCCCUUACGUUUUGAAGAAUCAACCCGCAGUCCUUUUUUUAACUGGCUAACUGAGAUAAUGUUUCAUUGUUGCAAAAACGUCCAUGUAGUUUAGUAUAUUCACCCCGCAGUCCUUUAAACAAACACAUCACAACAGAUCCUCUUCCUCUUCCCCAUGCACGAGUGGGCGCACCGCCGCCGCCACCGCCUUCCUCGCGGAGUCUGCGAUCGAAGGAUCGGUUGGGGCGCACCGGGUCUAGGCCGGCCUUCUGUGGGGCGCAGUGCGAGCUCUCGGCUCGGGGCAGGAGGUGGCUCGAUGAAGAGGAGCUGGGGCACGGCGCUCCUCUCCUGGUGUGGCGCACGAGGGAAGGAGGAGGGGAUCGACCCAAGACAGGAGCUGAGGCCGGCGGCGCCCUUCACACAAGCCUCACCGGCGGUGCCCUCUACACAAGCCUCACUGGCGGUGCCCUCUACACAAGCCUCACCGGCGGUGCGGCGGGAGAGCUCCUACCCGUCCAUAGGUGCGGGGAUGCAGAUCCGCGUCGCCAGCCUGUACUAGGCCGAGGUUGACACGCCGGUGCAGGGGUCACCGUCCAUCUUCGUCAGGUAAGCACGGACGUUCUUCUCUCUGUCGUUGUUGCGGUGCUUGGGUCGCGAGGAGGCGAUGCGUGUUUGCUUUGCUGUAGGUGCUUUGGCGCUGUAGACAACACCUCUGGUUCUCCUCCAUGCUCGCAGGCCUCCAGAGUACUCUAGCAACAGCCACUGGACGGCAGGGUGGUGACUGGGAGGCUGGGACAUGCUGGCACGGUCAAAUAGCCGGUUCACUGUGAUCAGGGUGCUAGAGGCUCUUGGGGUCGCAGCCCGCUCGCCUGCUGGAGGUACAAUGUUGAUUAUUUAGAGACCUCAUCUUCAUGAGACUAGCAAGGGAUGGACAUUCUGAAGAAGAGGAGAUGAGGACCACUGAAUCACGUUGUGGUGCGGGCGCCUUGAUCUCGCAUGCGGCUGUCUAAAGCCCUAGGGGCCAACCUCGCUCGAGCGUCACCGGCCAGCUCUCUUUUGCACAGGAGAAAAUGUUCAUAAGGAUUGGUAGCACGGACUGGAGAAUCGUCCGAACCAUCGUGGACACACCAGGGGCAGGGGCUGCAUGCUGCCAAGGCCGAGGCGACUGCCAAGAAGACUGGGCUCGAUGUAGUGACCAAGGAGGCACAACGUAUGCUCUUCUAAUUAGUAUGAUGAUUUGCAUAUGUAACAGUGCUACUCUCAAUGGAUUUGCUAACAAUCUUCAUAUUUUCGCAUUUGCUAACAGUAGCUUAUAUGUAUGGUAUAUGUGUCUUGGAAUCUUGGUAGUGGUUUAGUGGUUCUUCCUGUUAAGUUGUGCAUAUGAGGUACAACUCUUUCUCCACAUGGGCCUUACAGGUCAUAAUACCUUUACAAGUACCGUGCUAAUAAAAAGUUUCUUGAUUACGUUUAUUAUUAUUUCCAUUGCACUAUACUUUAUUUCAUUCCAUUGCUCUCCAUUAUUUUGGUAUCAAGUUCUACAAAUGCAUGUUCUGGUACAAUAUUUGUUUUUUCGAAUGCUGUCUUUUUUGCUAAUAAAUCUAUGGUCCAAUCUGGAUUCAAAAUCUAAGAAAUUUAUGGCCUUGUGUAAAUAGUUGCAGUUAUACUAUGAUGGAUUGUGUCUACUUUUUUAUGGAAAACAGAGAAGCCGAUUAUUCUGUUUGGAAGACGGGUAUCCUAAAUUCUAAUUCAGUCAUUAGUUGAUACAACAAUGUCCUCCGCGAAACUGUGAUCCGGGCGAGCCUAGCUUAGCUUGGGACCACUGGAGAUUGUGUGGUGCAAGGGAGACAGACUCCAACGGAUAUUGUGUCAUGCUCACCGACAGCAACAUGGAUAGUGAGGUCAUUGCCCUACAUGAUUGCCCUGUUUCCAAUAUGUUGGGUAGUCCUAUUUGGUUGAUUGUAUCUAUAGUAUGUUGGAAGCAGAUGUAACCUCAUUGAUUUUCACAUUAGAGGCCUCUUCAAUAUAUCUGAUCUUUCUGUAUGAGGAGCCUACAGUUUGUAAUGUUCUAUUUCUUUUGUGAAACCCCCACAAGUUGUAUAUGAACCAUAUGCAUUAGACAUUCCCACAUGUAUUUAUUCUUUUUUU